RNAcentral lists this ribosomal RNA (316 nucleotides) under uncultured eukaryote. Its description in RNAcentral is "partial 18S ribosomal RNA". It matches the Rfam family "Eukaryotic small subunit ribosomal RNA", at positions 1470 to 1796 of the family's 1831-position model. The record is from RNAcentral.
CCCUUAGAUGUUCUGGGCCGCACGCGCGCUACACUGAUGCAUUCAACGAGCCUAUCCUUGACCGACAGGUCCGGGUAAUCUUUGAAUCUGCAUCGUGACGGGGAUAGAUUAUUGCAAUUAUUAAUCUUCAACGAGGAAUGCCUAGUAGGCGCAAGUCAUCAGCUUGCGUCGAUUACGUCCCUGCCCUUUGUACACACCGCCCGUCGCUCCUACCGAUGAGCGUUUUGGCGAAGACGGUUUGAGUAGCUGCGUAAUUUCGUGUUGUUGACUCCGGCAGUUUGAGCCUUCACGUUUAGAGGAAGGAGAAGUCGUAACA